Molecule: ribosomal RNA, 356 nt
Filed under: unidentified archaeon
Lineage: Archaea
Description: bacterial SSU rRNA
Rfam family: Archaeal small subunit ribosomal RNA
Source: RNAcentral
GUAGUCCACAUGCCCAGGGGACGUGAUACUCGGGGAAACUGAGGAUAAACCGCGAUAGGCCAUGCAUUUCUGGAAUUGGUUCAUGGCUGAAAUCUAUAUGGCCCCUGGAUUUGGACUGGGGCCGAUCAGGCUGUUGGUGAGGUAAUGGNCCAACAAACUGUAACCGGUACGGGCUCUGAGAGGAGGAGCCCGGAGAUGGGCACUGAGACAAGGGCCCAGGCCCUAUGGGGCGCAGCAGGCGCGAAAUCUCUGCAAUAGGCGAAAAGCUUGACAGGGUUACUCUGAGUGGUUCCCGUUAAGGGGAUCUUUUGGAACCUUUAACAAAUGGUGCAGAAUAAGGGGUGGGCCAAGUCUGG